UCCCAGUGAUGCAAAAUGUUGUACUGAGG
RNAcentral lists this non-coding RNA (29 nucleotides) under Mus musculus (house mouse). Lineage: Eukaryota; Metazoa; Chordata; Mammalia; Rodentia; Muridae. The record is from RNAcentral.